RNAcentral lists this ribosomal RNA (215 nucleotides) under uncultured fungus. Its description in RNAcentral is "partial small subunit ribosomal RNA". The stretch from base 38 to 215 matches the Rfam family "Eukaryotic small subunit ribosomal RNA", at positions 684 to 864 of the family's 1831-position model. Lineage: Eukaryota; Fungi. The record is from RNAcentral.
GGAUCAAUUUACUGGUCGUGCCUAUGGUACGUACUGGUUUUGUUGGUUCCUCCCUUCUGAGGAACCACGAUGUCAUUAAUUUGGUGUCGUGGGGAAUCAGGACUGUUACUUUGAAAAAAUUAGAGUGUUUAAAGCAAGCUUUGGCUUGAAUACAUUAGCAUGGAAUAAUGAAAUAGGACGGACGGUUCUAUUUUGUUGGUUAUGGGACCACCGUA